AUACGUAGGGUGCGAGCGUUGUCCGGAAUUACUGGGCGUAAAGAGCUCGUAGGUGGUUUGUCGCGUCGUCUGUGAAAUUCCGGGGCUUAACUCCGGGCGUGCAGGCGAUACGGGCAUAACUUGAGUACUGUAGGGGAGACUGGAAUUCCUGGUGUAGCGGUGAAAUGCGCAGAUAUCAGGAGGAACACCGGUGGCGAAGGCGGGUCUCUGGGCAGUAACUGGCUCUGAGGAGCGAAAGCAUGGGUAGCGAACAGGAUUAGAUACCCUGGGAGUCCAUGCCGUAAACGGUGGGCGCUAGGUGUAGGGGUCUUCCACGACUUCUGUGCCGUAGCUAACGCAUUAAGCGCCCCGCCUGGGGAGUACGGCCGCAAGGCUAAAACUCAAAUGAAUUGACGGGG
RNAcentral lists this ribosomal RNA (398 nucleotides) under uncultured bacterium. RNAcentral's name for it is "partial 16S ribosomal RNA". It matches the Rfam family "Bacterial small subunit ribosomal RNA", at positions 523 to 918 of the family's 1533-position model. The record is from RNAcentral.